GUCUUGGCUUGUAGAUGGCCACCUUCUUACUGUGUCCUUAUAUGGUCUUUCCUUUGUGUGUCUGUAUCCUGAUCUCUUCUUUAGGGACACUAGUCAUAUUGGAUCAGGGCCCACCCUAAUGACCUCAUUUCAAUGUACUCACCUCUUUCCAGGCCCUAUCUCCAAACAACCCGCAUUUCCUCAAAAAUGCGGACUUCAACAUGUCUUUUGGGGGAACAAAGACUUUUGGGGAACAAAGUCUUUGGAGGAACACAGGUCAGACCAUGAUGCCUUGCCCAGCUCACUCCAAACAUGCUGAGCCUCAGUGUCUUCGUCGAUGAAAUGGGGUGGAUCAGAGGGGGCCAUGGACCUCCUGGUACCUCUUCACCCCUUUGCUCACCAGUUUGGUUAUUCCCUCCAGGUAAGUUCCUAGAGGAGAGUUGCUGGAUGGAAGGUGGAGAUGCCAGCCUGAGCCCUGAAAGUGCACCUGCCCACCCCCAUCGGGGUGGGUAGAUGGAUGUGCCCCCAGCCCCAUCCUCAGGCCUCCCAUGGCUCCUCCCCAUCUGACUGCCUGCCCCACCUUACUGUCAGAGGCUUCUGUCCCCAAAGGCUCAGCAGAGUUGCAAGCUGGUGCCUAAAGCUCUUCUCAAGCUGGCUGGGCCCCUUUCUGCCUCUCCCCUUCUUCAUUGCCCUUGUC
This 676-nucleotide long non-coding RNA is filed under the name Homo sapiens (human). Its description in RNAcentral is "HSALNT0216183". The record is from RNAcentral. Lineage: Eukaryota; Metazoa; Chordata; Mammalia; Primates; Hominidae.